This is an RNA transcript of Gopherus flavomarginatus (Mexican gopher tortoise), 2396 nucleotides long. It is a transcript of the gene named PHD finger protein 21B, with no coding region annotated. The transcript is spliced from 17 exons. Lineage: Eukaryota; Metazoa; Chordata; Testudines; Testudinidae. The record is from RefSeq and is a predicted model, not a curated record.
GGCGCAGCGCUGGCAGGGGGGCUGGGGCGGAGUCCCCCCCCUAGUUUGGCGGAAAGUGAGUGAUGAGUCUGUGUCCCUAGCAAAGAGGCAAAGAACUUGCUGUGCAGCCUGAGUAGUUGUUUCUUUCGAUUGUUGUUGUGGCUUUUUUUUUUUUUUAAAUUGCGCUGCUCGGGGUGGGCUUGUCUGAGGGGGGGCUGGUUUGUGGCCGCGGAGAAAAAACCAACAACGCCCCCCUCCCCGAGAGCCAACGGAACAAAAACAAAAGAAACUUCGCCGGGUUCCGAAAGUGGCAGCAAAGUGCCGGGCAAGUUGCAGGGAUGGAGCUACAGAGCUUGCAAGAGGCGUUAAAAGUGGAAAUCCAGUGUCACCAGAAACUAGUUGCACAGAUGAAGCAAGAUCCACAGAACGGUGAUCUUAAGAAACAAAUCCAUGAAAGGCAAUCAAGAAUAGCAGCUCUUAAUGAAAAACAAAAGCUGGCGGUGCGGAGCUGCCCCGCGGCGGUGCUGGUGGGAAGCGGGGGCAGCGGAAACACCAAGCCCGGCGGCGGGGUCCCCGCGCUUCUCAAAGCGUCCGGCGGCGGCGGCGGCAGCCAGAGCCAGAGCCUGGCCAUCUCCGUCCUGCCGGCCAAGGCUCCCAUCGCGAUGGUGACCGCGCACCUCAACGGGGGGCUGGGCUGCAGCGCGGCCGGCGUGGAGCCCCCGCAGAGCGCCCCCAUCAACCUGCAGACCACGGCCAAGCUGGUGACCGCCCGGAGAGCGCCCGAGCGUGGCUCCCGCUCCCAGGCUUUGGGAACUAUCACUGCAGUGCCCAUUAAAGUUCCUCAGGUCAGCUCCUUGCAGAGGUUGGCAGGACAAGGACCAGCAGUGCUACCUCAGGUUAGGCCAAAGACCCUGAUUCCAGACAGCCUUCCUAUUUCCCCAUGCAGAGACCAACCUUCCAAACAGCCUCCUACUUUCCAAAAGGCAACAGUAGUGAGCAUCAAAAACCCUAGCCCUGCCCUCCCCACUGCCAAUAAUACUGUCAGCCAUGUACAGACACCUAACAGCCAGUCACAAAGUGUAGCCGAGUCUACAUCUAUCUCAUCACCUCUGAGCAGUGCAGGUGUGGCCUAUGCUAUUAUAUCAACCUCCCCCAACAAUGCAACUCCUAUCAGCACGAGCGCUACCGUCUCUGUGGUCAACGAUAGCAUUAAAGUGCAACCACUCCUCAUUAGUGCCGACAGCAAGGUUAUCAUCAUUCAGCCUCAAGUCCAGACCCAGACAGAAAAUAAAGUGGAAACAAAGAAACCUCCUGAAGAGUCACCUCAGGGACCCCCUGCUGCCAAAAAGAAAAAGGAGGAAAAUCCAGAGAAAAUUGCCUUUAUGGUAGCAUUAGGCCUGGUUACAACAGAACACUUGGAAGAAAUCCAGAGCAAGCGUCAGGAAAGAAAGAGAAGAAGCACAGCAAAUCCAGCCUAUAGCGGACUCUUGGAAACUGAGCGGAAACGCCUGGCAUCAAAUUAUUUGAAUAACCCCUUGUUCCUUUCAGCAAGAGCAAAUGAGGAUCCAUGUUGGAAGAAUGAAAUUCACCACGAUGACCACUGUACAGCAUGUAAGCGUGGCAUUAACUUGCAACCAUGUGGCACAUGUCCAAGAGCAUAUCAUCUCAAUUGCUUGGAUCCUCCUCUGAAAACUGUCCCCAAAGGGGUUUGGGCCUGCCCAAAGUGCCAACAAAAGGUAUUAAAGAAAGAUGAAAAUGUGCCAUGGACUGGAACUCUGGCUAUUGUUCAUUCCUAUGUUACUCAUAAAACAGUCAAAGAAGAAGAGAAGAGAAAAUUAUUAAAGAAAGGCAGCGAGCUGAAGAGUGAACAUAGACAGUUGGAAGAGAAAGAGAGACUUCUCAACAAUGCAAUUAAAAAAUGCUUAGAGCUAAAAAACAGCCUGUUAGCCCAGCAGAAAGGGACUCAGUCAUCGCUGGAACGUCUCAAAACUCUCAUUAGACUGAUACAAAAUGAGCAGAUGAUUCAGGUUACCAUGACGACAACCACCACCUCCUCCUUGCUAACUGUCCCCUGGAUCAAACCCUCAUCUGCCUCUGCUGCCAUGCACAAAGCCUUGCAGCAAUCACAGGGUCCUUUUUACUUAUUUUGCUAUUGAUGUAUUUUUCUCAUGGAGUUUUUGUGCAAGAUUUAGCAUAAACCAUAUAGUGGAUAGCUUUGGAGACAAAUUAAAAAAAGGAAAAUAUGGAAGGUUGAACAUGUGAAGAAUUUCUGAAGACAUGUCUUGGACUGUUAAAAGUAGUUAUUUUGAAAAGGGGACUGUCCAGUGGAUAGUGUGCAUAGAAAAAAAGUGUUUGUCUUAAAUAUGCCAAUGUAGUUUUACUUCUUUAUGAUGCAUUAAACUUGACUGACAAUUUAA